AUACUCAAUCAGGGGAGCCAUUUUUGGCUGAGAGGUUUGAAAACAAACGACCCUUUGAACUUGAUCCAGCUAAUACUGGCGAAAGGAGAUCGCAUGAAAUCAGA
This 104-nucleotide non-coding RNA is filed under the name Bacteriovorax sp. Seq25_V. RNAcentral describes it as "TPP riboswitch aptamer (THI element)". It matches the Rfam family "TPP riboswitch aptamer (THI element)". From Rfam's summary of the family: Vitamin B(1) in its active form thiamin pyrophosphate (TPP) is an essential coenzyme that is synthesised by coupling of pyrimidine and thiazole moieties in bacteria. The previously detected thiamin-regulatory element, thi box was extended, resulting in a new, highly conserved RNA secondary structure, the THI element, which is widely distributed in eubacteria and also occurs in some archaea. RNAcentral also lists the same sequence under 1 other name. The record is from Rfam by way of RNAcentral. Lineage: Bacteria; Pseudomonadati; Bdellovibrionota; Bacteriovoracia; Bacteriovoracales; Bacteriovoracaceae.